GCAGAGCCUAGCAAACUUCCUUUUCUGUGAAAGUCCACGUGUCAAACACUUAAGAGUGUGGAGGGCUGUGCAUCUCGUCUGCGACUGCUCACCCCGUCAAGAGUGACAGCAGCUUGCAGAUCACGGGCUGUGCUUCAGCCAAAGUCUACAGACACUGACAUCUGAAUUUCACACACUGUUCAGGUGAAACGCAGUACUGUUCCUCUUUGGAAGUUUUGAAAACAUGAAAGCCAUUCUUACCUCACAGGUGAUGUGAGACAGGUGCAGGGCCAGCUUUGGCCUUCGAGAAACAGCUUGCCAACCUGUGCCCCAGGCCCCGAAUCCUAUCACUUUCAUUCUUAACAAGCUUCUGAGGGAUCCUCGGCAGGGAACCAGUUAGAAAGGGGGAGGGGCUGUCCAAGAACAAUCAGAGCACAAACACCCGCUAAAUUACGAGAAGACACAGUCUACACUCAAGAAUCCAAGUUGCCCAGUAGCCUGGAGUGAGAUAGCGAUGCCAGGAGCCUCAAAGGCAUCACUGGGAGAGGUGGUCGCUAACAUUUCUAACAGCCCACGUUGUCAUAUUAUGAGUUAGGAUACAUUCCGGGUGCUUUAAGGAAUCAGCAGAGUAAAGCAAAUAGUGCAAAAGCAUCGCUACCAAAAAUGCUUGGAAAACAGAGAAAUUCUCCCUUGUGAGCAAAUACUCAGACACCCAGAGCGCCAUAAAUUCCAGGUCCACGUCACCAUCCUUCAGUGCUAAGGGAGCAGCAUCAAGUACCCAAACUAUACAGGGAAAACGAUUCACACAGAGUUUGGGAGUCAACAGGGGGUGAGGCCGGAGCCCUGUGUUACUCCAGUGCCCUUUCAAGGCACUUGAAGUUCCAUCUCCAUGUGUGAGUCGCCAUUUCCAAAAAAACUUAUCAAAUGUUAUUCUCUUCUCAAUUCCAAGAAUCUCCUCUUACCCUGGCCAUACUCUAACAGGUGGCACCUGUCGGCCCUGCUCUCCAUCCUUAAAUGCUUGGUUUUCUUUUGGAAAGGUCCAACGCCCUCCACAGCCAGGCCACUGGAGAGCAGGAAGCUGCCCUCGGGUCUCCGGAAAUGGUGGACAGUCUCACAUCUCAAGGCCUUCAAGCUCAGUGUCGGAGUACACUACCAGAACACAUGGAUCCAGCCGAUACCUGCAGAAGCAGCGGCCAGAAAUUAGCAACCCAAACACCAGCACCACCUCAGACAGGACCUGGCA
RNAcentral lists this long non-coding RNA (1222 nucleotides) under Chinchilla lanigera (long-tailed chinchilla). Its description in RNAcentral is "lncRNA (ENSCLAG00000024025.1)". Lineage: Eukaryota; Metazoa; Chordata; Mammalia; Rodentia; Chinchillidae. The record is from RNAcentral.